UGAGGUAGUAGGUUGUAUAGUAGCAACUAAGAAUCGUACUAUACAAUGUGCUAGCUUUCU
Molecule: microRNA precursor, 60 nt
Filed under: Drosophila ananassae
Lineage: Eukaryota; Metazoa; Arthropoda; Insecta; Diptera; Drosophilidae
Description: Dan-Let-7_pre stem-loop
Source: RNAcentral